GNAGGGGGCGAGCGNNAUCCGGACCUAUNGGGCGUAAAGCGUGUGUAGGCGGUNUAUCAAGNNUAAGAGNAAAGCCCGGGGCNCAACNCCGGUAAGNCUNAAAAACNGGUAGACUNGAGNACGGUAGAGGCAAACGGAAUNUCUAGUGUAGCGGUGAAAUGCGUAGAUAUUAGAAGGAACACCAGUGGCGAAAGCGGUUUGCUGGGCCGUNACUGACGCUGAGGCACGAAAGCGUGGGGAGCAAAUAGGAUUAGAUACCCUAGUAGUCCACGCCGUAAACGAUGAGUACUAAGUGUUGGGGUUACCCAGUGCUGAAGCUAACGUAUUAAGUACUCCGCCUGAGUAGU
RNAcentral lists this ribosomal RNA (347 nucleotides) under uncultured bacterium. RNAcentral describes it as "partial 16S ribosomal RNA". It matches the Rfam family "Bacterial small subunit ribosomal RNA", at positions 527 to 881 of the family's 1533-position model. The record is from RNAcentral.